UACGUAGGGUGCAAGCGUUAUCCGGAAUUAUUGGGCGUAAAGAGCUCGUAGGCGGUUUGUCGCGUCUGCUGUGAAAACCGGAGGCUCAACCUCCGGCCUGCAGUGGGUACGGGCAGACUAGAGUGCGGUAGGGGAGACUGGAAUUCCUGGUGUAGCGGUGAAAUGCGCAGAUAUCAGGAGGAACACCGGUGGCGAAGGCGGGUCUCUGGGCCGAUACUGACGCUGAGGAGCGAAAGCGUGGGGAGCAAACAGG
RNAcentral lists this ribosomal RNA (253 nucleotides) under uncultured bacterium. RNAcentral describes it as "partial 16S ribosomal RNA". It matches the Rfam family "Bacterial small subunit ribosomal RNA", at positions 524 to 776 of the family's 1533-position model. The record is from RNAcentral.